Molecule: ribosomal RNA, 484 nt
Filed under: uncultured bacterium
Lineage: Bacteria
Description: partial 16S ribosomal RNA
Rfam family: Bacterial small subunit ribosomal RNA
Source: RNAcentral
GAUGAACGCUGGCGGCGUGCUUAACACAUGCAAGUCGAACGAGAGAAGACCGGUGCUUGCACUGAUCCGAUCGAGUGGCGGACGGGUGAGUAACGCGUGGGGAACCUGCCUCAUACAGGGGAAUAACAGUUGGAAACGGCUGCUAAAACCGCAUAAGCGCACAGUAUCGCAUGAUACAGUGUGAAAAACUCCGGUGGUAUGAGAUGGACCCGCGUCUGAUUAGCUAGUUGGUGAGGUAACGGCCCACCAAGGCAACGAUCAGUAGCCGGCCUGGGAGGGUGAACGGCCACGUUGGGACUGAGACACGGCCCAAACUCCUACGGGAGGCAGCAGUGGGGAAUAUUGCGCAAUGGGGGAAACCCUGAUGCAGCGACGCCGCGUGAGUGACGAAGUAUUUCGGUAUGUAAAGCUCUAUCAGCAGGGAAGAUAAUGACGGUACCUGACUAAGAAGCACCGGCUAAAUACGUGCCAGCCGCCGCCGUAA